UACAGAGGGGGCGAGCGUUGUUCGGAAUUACUGGGCGUAAAGGGCGCGUAGGCGGCCUGUUAAGUCGAACGUGAAAUCCCCGGGCUCAACCCGGGAACUGCGUCCGAUACUGGCAGGCUUGAAUCCGGGAGAGGGAUGUGGAAUUCCAGGUGUAGCGGUGAAAUGCGUAGAUAUCUGGAGGAACACCGGUGGCGAAGGCGGCAUCCUGGACCGGUAUUGACGCUGAGGCGCGAAAGCCAGGGGAGCAAACGGG
This 253-nucleotide ribosomal RNA is filed under the name uncultured bacterium. RNAcentral's name for it is "partial 16S ribosomal RNA". It matches the Rfam family "Bacterial small subunit ribosomal RNA", at positions 524 to 776 of the family's 1533-position model. The record is from RNAcentral.